RNAcentral lists this ribosomal RNA (492 nucleotides) under uncultured bacterium. RNAcentral describes it as "partial 16S ribosomal RNA". It matches the Rfam family "Bacterial small subunit ribosomal RNA", at positions 29 to 507 of the family's 1533-position model. The record is from RNAcentral.
AGUGAACGCUGGCGGUAGGCCUAACACAUGCAAGUCGAACGGCAGCACAGUAAGAGCUUGCUCUUACGGGUGGCGAGUGGCGGACGGGUGAGGAAUACAGCGGAAUCUACUUUUUCGUGGGGGGUAACGUAGGGAAACUUACGCUAAUACCGCAUACGACCUACGGGUGAAAGCAGGGGAUCUUCGGACCUUGCGCGAUUGAAUGAGCCGAUGUCGGAUUAGCUAGUUGGCGGGGUAAAGGCCCACCAAGGCGGCGAUCCGUAGCUGGUCUGAGAGGAUGAACAGCCACACUGGAACUGAGCCACGGUCCAGAGUCCUACGGGAGGCAGCAGUGGGGAAUAUUGGACAAUGGGCGCAAGCCUGAUCCAGCCAUACCGCGUGGGUGAAGAAGGCCUUCGGGUUGUAAAGCCCUUUUGUUGGGAAAGAAAAGCAGCAGGUUAAUACCCCGCUGUUCUGACGGUACCCAAAGAAUAAGCACCGGCUAACUUCGUG